CAGUCUUUCAAUAUAACCACUCUACUCACUUUGUAACAGGUGAAUUGAGAGUAAAUUUAUUAUUUGAGGAAACAGCAAUUCAUGAAUCAGCGCCAAAGCAAAGUGAUUUAAGCUCUACCUAAGAGGCAUAGGUUGGGGGUUAUCAGGUGAAUGCAGAAGCAAGACAAAGAAAAUAUUUGACUGGGUAAGGUGGACUACUGGCCUUGAAAUUAGAGUUUAGUUGGAGGUUUGUUUGGCAAAGAUCCUAAUUAGAGUUUGCUGGGUUUUUGUUGGCUAAAUUUAAGUUUUGCUUUACCACUUACACAGAGUUGGGUUUGGAUUUGCUUACAUAGGAAUCGACACUGGAACUGUUUUGGUGUAACAGCCUCCCAAAUAGUGCUUUGUUUUUAAGAUUUAUUUAUUUGAAAGGUCAUUAGAUAGAGGCAGAAGGAGAGAGAGAGAGGGAGAAGGAGAGGGAGAGGGAGAAGGAGAGGGAGAGAAGUAGUGGGUGGAGAGAGAGAGAGAGAGAGAUAUCUACUAUCUGCUGGGUUACUCCCCAGCUGAGCUGGGCCAAGCCAAAGCCAGGAGCUUAGAGCUCCAUCCAGGUCUCCUACAUGGGUGACAGGGGCCCAAACCCUGAGCCACCACCCUCUGUUGCUUUCUCAGGAAUAUUAGGAGGGAGCUGGAUCAGAAGCAGGGCAGCCAGGGCUGUAAGCAGCUCUGUGAUAUGGGAUGUGACUUAAUUUGCUGCCCCACAAAGCUAGCCCCCAAUUACUUUUUUAACAGGGAAAUCCUCAACAAGUCGGCAGGAGAGCAGGCCUGAGGAAGAAGACACUUACCAGUAGCAUACUCCCUGUGGGAGCGAAGGCUACACGGAAGAGCCACCCCUGGUGCAGAAGAACAAAUACAGUACAUGUGCCUACAGCACAAACCCAAAUCACAGGUAAUGAGGAGCCACUAUUUACAGGGAAAUCAGAGAGGAAAGUCAAGGGAGUUUCAUUAGCAGACAGAAUCAGGUUGGCAGAAGCCAUCCAAAUAGAAUUUUUCCAUCCAAAACCUUUUUCAAGGAGACACUGCAAAGGAGCAUCUUAUCUCAUACACAGUCAGCUCCCUCUAAAUAGUCAUGUUGGUUUCUGGAUACAAACAUUUAACAGAUGAAACUAUAAUAACCACAGAGCUGGAAGGAGAGCAUGUGGCACCCCUGUCCUUGGGAAUAACCCCUGGUUCUGAUGCCAUGCAGUUCUGGAGCCUGAUACCAACUCCAUUUUAAAAACCAAUUUCUUAAUGAGACGGGAUUCCACUGCAAGCUGAUGGCCUUUGAGACAAUCAUCAUCAUGUAGCAUUCCUUAAGCAACCAAGGGAGCAUAAAAUUAGAAAUUCUUAAGUGCAUCCACUCUGUUUAUCACUUCUCCUGUCCAUGUAUUCACUCCAAGUGUGUAUAUAAUACAACUACAGAAACAGUACAAAUGUAGCACAUCAGUCCCAUUCAUCCAGUUUGAUUGCCAGUAACAAACCCAGCUGCCACCAACAUAGCUCUAGAGGUUUUUAGCUCCACACCGUGCCAGUCAUAGGAAAAGUUGAAUUAUGCCAGUUAUUAUCUAUUUUUAAAGAUUUAUUUAUUUACUUGAGAGGCAGACUUAGAGAAAGGGAAAGAGAGAGAGAGAGAGAGAGAAUCUUCCAUCCUCUGGUUCACUCCCCAAGUGGCUGUAAAGGCCAGGGGUGGGGCAGGAUGAAGCCUAGAGCCAGGAACCCCAUUCUGGUACCCCAUUCAGUGCCAUACCAGGGGCCCAGGGACUUGGGCCAUCUUCCAUUGCUUUCCCAGGAGUAUUAGCAGAGGGCUGGAUCAGAAGUGGAGAAGCUAGGACUCAAACCAACACUCAUAUAAGAUGUGGGAGUUGCAGGUGGUGGCUUAACCCACACCACCACAACAGCCUCAUCAAUUAUUUAUAUGCACAAUUGUAAAAUUAAUAUUUUCCUCAUUAUUGUGUGCCACACAGCACCUGAUUCAAUGGUUAGUAAAUACAUCUUUUCCUCCCAAUAGACUGUAGGUUCAUCAGAAAAGGAUUUUUCCUCUUAUGUUAAACAAUAUACCUGGUAUCUAACAUGUAUUUGGCACAAAAUAACAUUCAAUACAUAUUUUCAAGAAAUAUAGUAAGAAAGGCACAUUGGCCUGAAUAAAUACUUUUCUCUAAAAAUUAACUUUAACUCA
Molecule: long non-coding RNA, 2188 nt
Organism: Oryctolagus cuniculus (rabbit)
Lineage: Eukaryota; Metazoa; Chordata; Mammalia; Lagomorpha; Leporidae
Source: Ensembl